RNAcentral lists this non-coding RNA (45 nucleotides) under Trichobilharzia regenti. Lineage: Eukaryota; Metazoa; Platyhelminthes; Trematoda; Strigeidida; Schistosomatidae. The record is from RNAcentral.
AUCCAACUGAUGAGUCCCAAAUAGGACGAAAUACGCUUUCUGGAC